GUAUCCACUGCUGGUUUCCAGUUCAGCUCCCUUCGAAGCCACCGACUCCCCAGUGUGAGCCUCCGACCUUCCUUCCAUCCAGUCAUGUUGCUCUCCUAAAGUCAGCCUCCAGUCUCCAUCAAGGAAGAUAGCGCUCCUAUCCAUUGGGUAUUUUCAAAGGUGUGUGUGUGUGUGUGUGUGUGUGUGUGUGUGUGUGUGUGUGUUUAUAAAAUUGCAACUUCUCACACUUUUGAAUAGCCCCUUUCUUGGCAGGAGAAUUCAGUAUUUAAGGCUGUAUUUUUCUGUUGUUUACUUGAUGCAAGGACAUCUGUGGAUCCUGGGAGAUUCUCCUUUCUAGUAAAGAACAGAUAAUUUUGUGAUUCACAGUAAACUGAAGCAAAUUUCAUUUUUCUUUUCUUUUUCUCGUGAAAGAAAGAAAAGCCCCCCCCCCCCCCGUGAUAUUGAUUGGAUUACUUAAAGUGCCUAACUCACCUUAGAAAUCACUAAAUUCAUCAUGUAGAAUGGUCACAGCAGAAUGAGUUAUAACCAGAGUAAAUAAUAGGAAGAAAGAAAGGAAGGAAGGAAGGGAAAGCCAAGCAGAGAUAACCCAUAAGAAAUGUCAAGUCAUUAUAGUGUUUAUGGAACACCCCACAGCACCCUCACACUCAUCUGUAUUAUUAAGCAAAAAAGUGAAUGGUCCGGAGAACAACAGGAAGCAGGAAGCUCAUUGGUUCUCUAAGUGUGGUCUGGGUAGCCUCAGCAUCAUCUUGCCUGGGAAGCUGUAGAAAUGCAGGCUCAUAGGCUCCACCUCAAACAUUCCACACUAGGGGGGAGAGCCAGUAAGCCACUGAAGCUCGCAGGGUGACUAGGAUCUGAAAAGCACCAAUGCCAUGUAGGGUCGGGCUGACCCACCAGGAAGUGUGUGUAGGGUCAGGUUGACCCAUCAGGAAGGCAGAUCAGGGCAAGGAAUUGAGGAACUUCCCUAGAAGAACUAGAAUAUACGACAAGAGUUCCUGACUUCUUACAUCACGGCUCUUAUACUCACAGUCAGAGGCAAAAAUGAGACUUCUUACUGUUUAAAUAUCCAAGGAAAAGGCAGGGUUACAAUGUAGGACACUAGAUAGAAAUAUACCAGUGAUAGAAUACUUACUUGACAGGGCUUAAUUGCCAGCACAGCAAACAACGACAACAAUAAUAUAUUUUAGACAUAAAGACUCCGGUAGAUGGACUAUAAAGAUGACUUCUUUGGUAUAAAGGCCCUCCACACAAUUCUGAGGACCCAAAUUAUCCCUAGCACCCAUGUAAAAGCCAGUGUGGUAGGAUGUACCUAUAAUCCCAAUACUAGAGAGGCAAAGACAAGGAGGAUGCUGGGUGCUGACUCGAUGGCCGGUGAAUAGUGGCACAGUGUAAGCUCAAGGUGAGGUGAGAAAGCCUGUGUCUAAAAUGGAAGAUGAUAAAGAUAACUUUGACUCUCUGUGUGCAUGUGUCUCCCCACAACCAGCAUGUGCAUCGACAUACAACCUCUCACACACAUGCAUGCACUCAUCCAAGAAGACAAGAGAGAUAAAACAUGUUUCCCCAGGAUGAAUCUAAGCAGUGGGAAAUACUGAGAUGUUUAUUGGCAUGCACAGACACAAUACAUCUACAAGGACACUGGCAACUCCUCUGCAGAGGCACACAUGGUGAUGCUUGGUUCAUUUUAAGGUGUAAAAACUAGCUCUAGCUCAGCCGUUGGGCCAUUUCGAUUCAUUCUUGUUAGCUUACAGUUUCAGUUUACAAAGCACUUAAUGAGCACAGCAUCUCUUAUUCAUCCUGCGGUAUGUUCAGCUCUUUCAACUAAUGGAUGGAUUUCUACUCCCUUUCCAAGUAUUCACUUAUAAGAUGCAUUUGAGUUCCCUUUUUGUAUGCAAACAGCCAAAUCAUGCAAUUAGGACUUGCCCACUUCUCCAGAACAAGGGGCCAGAACAGACACAGGUCAGGACUGUGCAAUUUUUAUGUUCAGGCGCAUCCAUUAAACCAGCCGUGGGAGACUCACUUAAGUAAAGUGCAGUAUUCUUUAACAGCUGCUUUGCCACACAAAGAAAACCAGCAUUGUGACACCUCCCUGUAGCCUCUGUAUCUCUUGAAUCGAACUUUCAAUGUCAGAACAGAGAUUAAAAUGAUGUCACUUAAUACAGAGCGCUGCUCUUCUCUCUCCUCCCUGGCUCGCAGUGUUGUGUGUUGAAAGUUACCUUUUAAGGCUUACACAAUGUUGAUGAUGUGUCCCGAUAGUGACACGUAAACAAGUAGCAAAGAGUGUCUGACCAUGAAUGAACCUGAGCAGUCCAUUCUCCAAAAACUGGGGAAAUAGACACACACACACACACACACACACACACACCCUACCCCGUUCCAUCCUAAUCUAGAUGUAGAGUAAUCUGAUCCAAGAGACUUCGCCUCUAGGGUCACUUAGUAAGAUUUACCACAAUUG
This 2449-nucleotide long non-coding RNA is filed under the name Mus musculus (house mouse). Its description in RNAcentral is "long non-coding RNA chr6:53707179-53709628". The record is from RNAcentral. Lineage: Eukaryota; Metazoa; Chordata; Mammalia; Rodentia; Muridae.